UACGAAGGGGACUAGCGUUGUUCGGAAUUACUGGGCGUAAAGGGCUCGUAGGCGGCCAACUAAGUCGGACGUGAAAUCCCCAGGCUCAACCUGGGAACUGCGUCCGAUACUGGAUGGCUUGAAUCCGGGAGAGGGAUGCAGAAUUCCAGGUGUAGCGGUGAAAUGCGUAGAUAUCUGGAGGAAUACCGGUGGCGAAGGCGGCAUCCUGGACCGGCAUUGACGCUGAGGAGCGAAAGCCAGGGGAGCAAACGGG
This 253-nucleotide ribosomal RNA is filed under the name uncultured bacterium. RNAcentral describes it as "partial 16S ribosomal RNA". It matches the Rfam family "Bacterial small subunit ribosomal RNA", at positions 524 to 776 of the family's 1533-position model. The record is from RNAcentral.